Equus caballus (horse) is the source of this 7284-nucleotide long non-coding RNA. The record is from Ensembl. NCBI's taxonomy places the organism in Eukaryota, Metazoa, Chordata, Mammalia, Perissodactyla, Equidae.
AGAAGGCACAGCCUUGUUCUGUAGAGGGAGGGUGGUGACAGGGCCACAGAGCUCCACAGAUGAUCCCCUCCUGACAAUUCAUGGGUGAUUUCCUGAGACAGAAUUGCAGACAUGGCACUGCCAGUUUCAGUAGUGGAAGACGUAACUUUGAUCAUGGAUUCUAUUAUGGGAGGAAUUCAGACAAGGUACAGUGGGGGUGACUCAUCUCUGAGGGGCUGCCUCAAACAGGUAGAGAAUGGAACAGCAGGGCCUGGCUCUUCACUUUUCACCCGAUGGCUUUUCCCUCACAUGCCCGGCACCUGGACUGAGUCAACUCAAGCCAGCGCUUAGUUGGGAGGGUUGACCAGAAACCAAAACGUGCUUUCACCCUAGGAUUUGCACUUCCCAUGGAAUGGACGCUGGCUACCUACAGACUGCAACCCAAGGGGGAGCACCCGAUAAACAUGUGAGCUGCAGAAACCAGGUGGAAGCUGUAGAGACUAAAAUGGCUACACAGCAUCACUACUGCCAGGAAGACACAGCCAUCCCUGAUUCAAGGGGAGGGCACUUAGAACCCCAUAUUUGAUGUGCUGGAUGGCCAAGAAUCAGUGAGCACUUUUUAAAGUUGCCACUUGCAGCUGCACUCACUAGAUUGUCCCUCCACGGCUUAAUAUCACAAUGAAUGAAAGCAUGUGUCAGCGUUCCUGGAAAAAAAAAAAAAAGGUUUCCAAAAUGCACAGCACUUCUCCAAUAUCUUCAGGAGCUCGGCAGAGAACUGUGCAGGCACAAAGGAAUGCCAGAUCACAGAUAUUAUUGAUUACUCUAGGAGGGUCAACCUAAGAUUAGCUGUCAUCCAGUCCCUUGGAAUGCUGAGUAGCUCAGCGAUUACCCGUAAGAAGACAGACAACAGACAGUCAACUGUGGUAUGUUUUGUUGUUAAGAAGGAGGAAAACGAGAAUAUUGAUUGGUUCAUUCAGCUCAAGUGGCUAUUGUUCACCUUGAAGAUACACAUUUCACAAAGACAUUUUCUCACCCUCACCUGCUAAGGAGGUCACUAUGGACAAAGGCCCUUGAUUUAUAGGGUCCCCGCGGAUGGAAGCUUUCCCCCUAUCAGCGGGUCUCCACUGAAUCAGCGGCAGGAGUCCUGGAUGAUCCCCUGGUCGCGCGGCCUCUCCCCUGCUCCUUCCCGACCCGCGCCGCAGCGAUCGCAGACUCUAGGGGAGGGAGCGAUGUUCUCUCCUACCGUUCCAGCGCCUCCAAAGGGAAAAUAAACAACCAUGUUCAACCAACUGCUCUCGUCUUUGAAACAACUGUCUUGUCCAUUUGGUGUGUCUCACUAAAGCAAUCUUCAAAAUAGUCAACAUGUGGAAGCAACCCGAGUGUCCACCAAUGGAUGAAUGAGAAACAGGAUGUGAGAUACAUCCCAUGGAAUAGUAUUCAGCCUUACAAUGGAGAAUAUUCUGACCCAGGCUACAACAAGGAUGGACCUGGUAAAUGUGAUGCUCAGUGAAAUAAGCCAGUCACAAAAAGACAGAUACUGUAUGAUUCCAUUUACAUGAAGUCCCUGGAGGAGUCAAGUUCAUAGAGACAGAAAAGACAACGGUGGUUGCCAGGGGCUGGGAGAGGGGAAAGGGGAGUUAGUGCCGACAGAGUUUCAGUAUUGCAAGAUGAAAAGAGUUCUCGAGAUUGGUUGCACAGCAGUGUGAAUGUACUUAUCACCAUUGAACUUAAAAAAUGGUUACGACUGGCUGGACCCAUGGCCAAGUGAUUAAGUUCACCUGCUUCGAUUUGGGUGCCCGGGGUUUCACCAUUUCGCAUCCUCGGCUUGGACUGGCACGGCUCAUCAGGCCAUGCUGAAGCUGCAUCCCUCAUAGCAGAACCAGAAGGAUCUACAACUAGCAUAUAUAACUAUGACCUGGGGGGCUUUGGGAAGAAGAAGAAUAAUAGAAAAAAGAUUGGCAACAGAUGUUAGUAAAGAUGCCAAUCUUUAAAAAAAAUGGUUAAGAUGGUAAACAAGUUCCAUGUAUUUUAACAAAAUUAACAAUUUUUUUAAAAAGGCAUCAGAGUUACUAGUCCCUCUUUCUGAAAUCAUUUAUGCUUAUACUCCUUCCUCCGUUUGAGAUCUCUACUUAAAUGCCCUCCACCACCCUCUGCCUGGACCAUGUGCUAUGUUUCCUUAUAACUGUCAUCAACACCUGCAAUCUUCUAGGUUGUGAGUUCAUUGGCUUAUUUCCUGUCUCCCUACUUGGGAACAGAAGCUCUGUGGACCAGUACCUGAGUGGGUCACUGCUUUCUCUGCUACAGGCCAGAAUAAUGGCCUUCCUCGGGCCUGGACUCAAUAGGGAGCUACUGAAGGCACAGCAACCUUUGGGUUAGCACUUGGGAAACUCCAGGCUUUCUGGACAGCACACAUGAGGGUAAAUGACUGCAGUGCUUGCUGCUAUAAUUUCCAAUAAUUAAUUUAUAGAAAUCUGAAGACACCCCUUCGUCCCAAAGAGAAGGGACUAGUCUCCUAACACUGUUACCAGAUGGCCACAGUUUGGACAGGGUUAUCAAGUGGGGUCCUUGAGUGCACAUGUAUCCUGCUAGGAAGGAUUUAAAAAGGAGCUCUCAUACAUUUCCACUCUGAUAUCUUUCUGCUCAUAGUAGCUCUUUCUUCAAUUGUGGGACUAGCUAAUAUUGAACCAUACCUCAGGGGCAGGGGGGAAGCAACCCAGAAUUCAUUGAAAUAAGUGUUGUGAUAAAGAACAGUGCUCAGUGGCAUAUCACCACAGCAAUGCAAUGCUCAUCAUUUGCCAAAAUAAAUGCACUCAUGGAGACCCAAAUAAAGAACCGACACACACUGACUAAAUUAAAACAAAUGCAUGAAUAGUGGGAGAGACACUGGCGUCUUUCCUUCAGGCAGGAUGCUGCCCCCUCUGACACUUGCAGAAACUCUGGGAUAUCACCUCUAGUCCUGCCCUUUCACCCACUUUUAUGAGGAAAACCUGCCAUUCUUGUUUCUUGCAGUUAGAACAGCUAUCGGAUAGGGGGUCACAGAGCUUUGCCAUUUCUCUUUCCCUCUCUACGUGGAUGGAUUUGCGGGCUUUUGUGUGGCUUAAUGGGCUUACAGGAGGCACAGGGAGGAGAGAAUUUCUGGAGAGAAAACUACAGGAGGAAAGGCCAAGAGCCGUGCUGCCGCCGUUCACAUUUGGGGGUCUGAGUCUCAGUCCCUUCUGUGCCUCAGUCCAUAGAACCUCAUAUUGUCCCCUAAGAAUAUUAAGGUGGAGACUAAAAAAUACGGACAGUAAGAAUAAUAAUACCUAUUAUUACAGUGUGCAGCAACGAGCGCGUGUGACUUUGGCUAUGCAAGGCAAUGCCUAAAAUCCCCUUGGAAUGACACAGUGGGAUGUGGAAUCCAAGUGAUUACACUUCAGGAGAUUUUCCUAGGGUGCAUUCUCAAUGGGGGUGAUUUUGCCCUAAAAGGGCAAAAAAGUGGUUCUUCGUGGGUGAAAAAACUCACAUUCUUGUAUCUUCCAAGCCCAGAUAUCCAUAGUGCACAUAACCAUGUAUACAGUUAUUUGUUGUGUUAAGAUUUCAUGGAGUGGGUGCUGGUUAAAAAAACGAUUUGAAAAGGCUGCUUGGGUGGGGGUGGGGGUAUGAUGGUUAGUUUUCUGUGACAACUGGACAGGGCAGUGGAGUAACCAAGCUUCUGACAGUUGUUGCAUUGUACUAGCCUUAAAGAUGAACACCAAGUUCAUUUAACUUUGAAGAAACUGACCAUUGUAAUAUUGUCCAAAAAGACCCUUAUUUUAUAGAGUGAUUCAUUGGGUUUCUUAAAAGAUAAUAACCUGAUAAAGAUCUGUUUUCACUAGGUUCAGUAAGCACUCUUCUAUGAGCUUUCCAUAGAUAUGAAAUUACCUAAUAUUCAUAAUAAAGUCAGAGGUAUGGACAUACCCAGGACAAUCCCAGCCCUCAUCUCUAAAGGGAACUUCUAAAUGGUGUGCCCUCCAGCAAGGCCUCUCACCCACUUCUGAGCCUGGGACACAAUGAAGAUCAGAGGUUUUCUCGACAGUAUCUUGGCAUUUACAUUUGUGGUCGACAUCUCUCAAAGCCUAAGACAGAGAUCUUUGAGUCCUUCCACAAGGAACAGGGAGGAGAUGUGCUGGGGAAGAAGGUGACUUGCUUGACAAUCAUCUGGGAAAAAGUGAAGGACACGGUUUUUUCUAAGAAUGGAUGAAUAUCCAUGAGGUGCAUGUCACACGAGACAUGCAGGCUUGAUUCAAACAACCCUGCAGCCAGGUCCUGAACAUCUUUUCUAGAAGUGUGGGAAAAAUGAGUAAUGUGCCCAAGGUCUGAAAGAUCUUCAGGAUACAUCGCUGCCAACCAGGAUGCUUAUUUUCAGCGUUACAGAAUGAUCUCUUAUGAUGACUGACAAGUGGAUUCACCACAUCCACAAAUAAUAGUAUAUAAAGAGGUAAAAAUUCAGAAUUUCACCCAUAGGUAACCCCUUCUGAGCUCCUUCAGAAGAGGAAACAACUGCCAAAGAGAUGAAGAUUCUACAGUUCACCUUUGGACUUGCUCUGGUUGGCACUGACCAGAUACCUCCAUCAAAUGAAGACCUCGCAAAGGAAUCUGAGAAGAAGGUCACCUGUGUGUCUGUGUGUGCGUCUGUGUUUGUGUGUGUCCCUUUUGGGGUUGUUUUAUGUGUAUACAAAUUUAUGUGCACCUAAGCCUAGCCAUCUUCCUCCAACUCAGAAGCACUCUAUUAAUUGGCUGCUUACACAAUCCUGCUGUACUUGUCUUAUAUUGUCUCUGUAUUGUCUAUAUUAUCUAUUAAUUGGAUCCUUAUGCAUUUCAACCGUACUUGCAUAAGAUGGAGAACAAGCCAGAGAAUUGCUGGACUGGAGUUCUGCUUUGAUAACAGAACUGAAACUAUUUCAGAAAUAUCUCUAUUUCUCGUUUUACAGUUGACUUGGGUUUUUACAUUAUUUUAUAAAUCCUGCUUUGUCCAAUAAUGAUAGACAGUGCUGGUGGAAAAAGAAAGGAAAACUCAUAAUGGAUGAUGUCAGAGAAAAUAAAAAAGAAUGACUGAAAUUUCUUUUUAGUUUUCUUUUUAGUUUUCAGGAGAAUGGAAAAGGUCUUACAUAGCAUUCAGUAAUAGAGUGAAGAUCAAUGAGAAUGGACCAUUAGAGAAGUUUGUCCAUAGUGUUGAUUUUUGACACUGUAGACAGCAUUAUCAACUUGAAAUUUCUGACCAGGUAAGUAAAAAUAACACAGAAUAAAAUCACUCAUAAAUGUUCAACCCUGAGAGAAGGUCUUUGUUACUUGCAUGUUUGCACUGAAAGAUCUUGAUUAUGUUCAAGAACGUGACUCUCUGAGUUGUGUGCUUGGAAGAGUCUUUGAAGUGGUGGCGUAAGUUCCACCACCAUCCUCUAGAGAAUGUCCUGGAGAAUCUCAUGGAGAGCAAAGUGGCACGGUUGCUCUAAUGGAACCAUCUCAUUCAAAAAAGAGGGACAAAAGCAGCCAAAAGGGUAUAUUUUCCUCAAACCCUACAGAUCCUGACCACUAGCCUGAAUCUUUCAUGCGGAAUUUGUAAAACGUGGUUCACUUCUAGGGCAACUGUGUUCCAGAAGAGUGUGAGCAGGUGGAUAACGCAAAAUGAUCUCUUCCCUGAAGAACUUACUUAUAGCAAUUUUUAAUCAUUAAUAAAUUCAUUAAAGCCUUCAUUGCUUCAAGGAUUAUUUAUGGAAUGCACACCAUAUUGCAGGCAUUUUAUUAAGAAUUCAAAUGACUUAUUUCACUUAGCAUCAUACCCUCUAGAUGCAUGCAUGUUGUCACCAAUGACAGGGUUUCGUUCCUUUCCAUGGAUGACUUAUUAGUUGUUCCAUGUAUAUAUAUACCACAUAUUCUUUAUCCAUUCAUCUAUUGAUGAACACACAGGUUCUUUUCAUAUCUUAGCUAUUGGAAAAAAUGCUGCAGUGAACAUAGCAGUGCAUAUAUCUUUUGAAUUUAUGUUUUUGUUUUCUUCAGAUAAAUACCCAGAAGUGUAAUUUCUGGAAGGUAUGGCAAUUCUUUCUUUAAGUUUUGGAGAAACCUCCAUGCUGUUUUCCAUGGCGGCUGUAUCGAUUUACAUUCCCACUAAGAGUGCACGAGGGUUCUCUUUUGUCCACAUCCUCACUAACACUAGUUAUUUGUUUUCUUUUUGAUAACAGCCAUUCUGACAGGUGUGAGAAUGUGGAUUUGAUUUGCAUUUCCCUGAUGAUGAGUGACAUUGAGCAUCUUUUCAAGUGUUUGUUGGCCAUCUGUAUGCCUUCUUUGGAAAAGUGUCUAUUUAGGCCCUCGGCCCAUUUUAUAAUCAAAUUUUUGAUUUGGGGUAUUAUGUUGUAUAAGUUCUUUAUAUAUUUUGGAUAGUAACCCCUUAUCAGAUAUGACAUUUGCAGGAAUCUCCUCCCAUGCAGUUGGUUGAUUUUUUGUCUUAUUGCUGAUUUCCUUCACUGUGCAAAACUUUUUUUUUGAUAUAGCUUCAUUUGUUUAUUUUUCUUUUGUCACCCUUGCUUGAAGAGAUAUAUCCAAAGAAAUAUUGCUCAGACUGAUGUCAAAGAGCUUUACUACCUAUGUUUUAUUCUAGGCAUUUUAUGGUUUCAGGUCUUACAUUAAAUCUUGAAUCCAUUUUGAGUUUGUUUUUGUAUAUAGUGUAGGAAAGUGGUCCACAACCAUUAGUCUCUCCAACAAGGGCAAAUAUUCCAAUGUGCUUACUUAGGGUUUUUUUUAAACAUAUUCUUAAAAUUAGGAAUCUUUCAUAUAAAUACAUGUAUUUUGAAAUUUAUAUAAAGUUAUAAAUUAAAAAAAAGAAGUGAAAUGAGGAAGAGAAGAUGAAGAAACUUUUUUGGGGGGAGGCUUUCAUUGGUCAAAAUAGAGUCAGGGAUAAUGAUUUUAAACUAAUAACAAUACUGACUGUGAAAAUCGAUAAUAAUAGCAUAAAUGAUGUGGAAAGAGGGGACCAAAAAAUGAAAAAUGAUGACAGUGUGGGAGACUAAACAGUUAUACCAGAAAUAUGACAUGUGUAAGAUGCUUUUGAAGGUGGAAUGAGCCAUUUUUAUUUUAUUUUUUUAAAUAUAUUUUCAGUUCAGAGUGUUGCACUGCCUUUCACUUUUCCAUAAAUGCUAAGCAUGUUCCCAGGAAUCUAUCAGAGUUUUUUUUCUUUAAGGGAAGUCUUUUUUUUUAUUUAAGAUUGGCACCUGAGCUAAGAUCUGCUGCCAAUCUUAUUUUUUUUUCUCCUCCCCAAAGUCCCCCCCAGUACAUAGUUGUAUAUUCUAGUUGUAG